AACCGGUUAGGGCGUAAUAACAAUGAUUGAUAUUAUUCGCAAAAUCAUAACUCGGUGAAAAAUCAUAUUGAUGUUUUUGUAAUCUUUGGUGAUAUACCGACAUGGAGUUGUCGGAUCCGCGAAUUAAAAUUUUAGUUUAGCAUAAUGGAAACAAAAUACUUACAAUGCAUACUUUACGAUGUCACCAAAUUCUGUACAAAUAUGAAAGAUAUUUCAAGCAAUAUGAUUCCAAAGCCCAUACACCCACGCUUAAGCCUAAUUAUCAUAAUAUACAAACCAAAGCCUCAUGGCAUAGUGAACCCGGAACGUCCCCCUUAUCGACUUGAAUUCGGCACCGUACAAGAAGAAAAGCAAAGUUACUGAUUUAUUAAAUUACAUUUGCCAAACUAAUAUCCUUAAUACCCCCUAAAAACAUAAAAUGCUGUCUUCUUCUAACACAGUGAACACUGGUGAACACCAAUACCUCAACAGCAUGGAUACAACAAGCAAUGCAAAUAAAUUAUCCCUUAACUCCACGGAUAUAGACUACAUCCCUGUUUUCCUAAUCAUUUUUAUAUUCAACACAGACUAAACAGUAUUAAUCCUAACAACAACUCAUGCAGAUUUAACAAAACGAGUAAAAUGUAACUGAGCCGAGAACAAACAUCAGAGUAUUAAUGGAGCGAUUGUUACCGUACAAGAAAUACUUCACUACUCGUGGUUUGGUCUGAGACAAAACUUCAAGCUCAUCGAUUCGAUGCCCAUAACGCUUUAACGGCUGAGUUCAUUUUUCACUGUGUUGCUGAGUUGUUUGUUAAGGUGAUGUUGUCGGCAAGCUGAGUUUGAACAGAUCCAUUGUUGUUGACCAUUUGCUGGGUUAGGUGCUAAUUCGGAAUGAAGGCUGGGAUCUUGGACAGGUAGACGGAUCGUCAUCGCGCGUGUGACUGACG
Molecule: long non-coding RNA, 929 nt
Filed under: Lathyrus oleraceus (garden pea)
Lineage: Eukaryota; Viridiplantae; Streptophyta; Magnoliopsida; Fabales; Fabaceae
Description: Pisum sativum (pea) long non-coding RNA (PSAT_LNC019180)
Source: RNAcentral